This 253-nucleotide unclassified non-coding RNA is filed under the name uncultured Alphaproteobacteria bacterium. Its description in RNAcentral is "contains 16S-23S intergenic spacer region". It matches the Rfam family "Bacterial small subunit ribosomal RNA", at positions 524 to 776 of the family's 1533-position model. Lineage: Bacteria; Pseudomonadati; Pseudomonadota; Alphaproteobacteria. The record is from RNAcentral.
UACGGAGGGGGCGAGCGUUGUUCGGAUUUACUGGGCGUAAAGGGCGCGUAGGCGGACCGUCAAGUCAGGGGUGAAAGGCCUGGGCUCAACCCGGGAACUGCCUUUGAAACUAGUGGUCUCGAGUCCGGGAGAGGAUGGCGGAAUUCCCAGUGUAGAGGUGAAAUUCGUAGAUAUUGGGAAGAACACCGGUGGCGAAGGCGGCCAUCUGGUCCGGAACUGACGCUGAGGCGCGAAAGCGUGGGGAGCAAACAGG